UACGGGGGGGGCAAGCGUUGUUCGGAAUUACUGGGCGUAAAGGGCUCGUAGGCGGCCAACUAAGUCAGACGUGAAAUCCCUCAGCUUAACUGGGGAACUGCGUCUGAUACUGGAUGGCUUGGAUUCGGGAGAGGAAUGCGGAAUUCCAGGUGUAGCGGUGAAAUGCGUAGAUAUCUGGAGGAACACCGGUGGCGAAGGCGGCAUCCUGGACUACUACUGACGCUGAGGAGCGAAAGCCAGGGGAGCAAACGGG
Molecule: ribosomal RNA, 253 nt
Filed under: uncultured bacterium
Lineage: Bacteria
Description: partial 16S ribosomal RNA
Rfam family: Bacterial small subunit ribosomal RNA
Source: RNAcentral